AUUGAACGCUGGCGGCAUGCUUUACACAUGCAAGUCGAACGGUAACAGGCCUUCGGGUGCUGACGAGUGGCGAACGGGUGAGUAAUGCAUCGGAACGUACCCAGAGGUGGGGGAUAACGCAGCGAAAGCUGUGCUAAUACCGCAUGUGAUCUGAGGAUGAAAGCGGGGGACCGAGCAGCAAUGUUUGGCCUCGCGCCUUUGGAGCGGCCGAUGUCGGAUUAGCUAGUUGGUGGGGUAAAGGCCUACCAAGGCGACGAUCCGUAGCUGGUCUGAGAGGACGACCAGCCACACUGGGACUGAGACACGGCCCAGACUCCUACGGGAGGCAGCAGUGGGGAAUUUUGGACAAUGGGCGCAAGCCUGAUCCAGCAAUGCCGCAUGCGGGAAGAAGGCCUUCGGGUUGUAAACCGCUUUUGGCAGGAACGAAACGGUGUCCGCUAAUACCGGGCGCUAAUGACGGUACCUGCAGAAUAAGCACCGGCUAACUACGUG
This 492-nucleotide ribosomal RNA is filed under the name uncultured bacterium. RNAcentral's name for it is "partial 16S ribosomal RNA". It matches the Rfam family "Bacterial small subunit ribosomal RNA", at positions 29 to 507 of the family's 1533-position model. The record is from RNAcentral.